GUUAAUGUAGCUUAUCCCAAAGCAAAGCACUGAAAAUGCUUAGAUGGCCUUUACUCAGGCCCAUAAACA
This is a non-coding RNA of Gracilinanus agilis (Agile Gracile Mouse Opossum), 69 nucleotides long. The record is from the annotation of a RefSeq genome assembly. NCBI's taxonomy places the organism in Eukaryota, Metazoa, Chordata, Mammalia, Didelphimorphia, Didelphidae.